UUGUGGAGAUAGAUUGUCCCCAAACUCACUGCUCCGCUCAUGCUCACAAGGGCCCUGGUCUGGGCUGUUCCACAUGUGUUUGUCACCCUGCCAUGAGCAUUCCGGCCAUCUGUCUCCUUGGGGUCUUUUGUCUCCUAGGGGUCGAGUCCACAGAUGCUGGAGUCACCCAGACACCCAGGCACAAGGUGACAACGAAGGGACAAACAGUAACUCUGAGAUGUGAGCCUAUUUCAGGCCAUGCUUCCCUUUACUGGUACAGACAGACCUCAGGGCAAGGACUGAAGCAGCUGGUUUACUUCAACAAUCAAGUUUCUAUAGAUGACUCGGGAAUGCCCAGCGACCGCUUCUCAGCCAAGAUGCCUGAGAAAUCAUCCUCCACCCUGGAGAUCCAACGCACAGAACCCGGAGACUCGGCCACAUACCUGUGUGCCAGCAGUUUAGACACAGUGCUCCAAAAUCCUCUGUACUUCGGCUCCGGAACCCGGCUGUCGGUGCUAGGUGAGCGCGGCGGGGGGCGGCCGGGUGCUCGGCAGGGGGCCCGGGGCUGUGCAGCCUCCGCCCCGACCUUCGGCGGGCAGCCGGCUGACCGUCGUGGAGGACCUGAAAAAGGUGAGCCCUCCCAAGGUCACAGUGUUUGAACCAUCAGAAGCAGAGAUCUCCAGGACCCUGAAGGCCACACUCGUGUGCCUGGCCACAGGCUUCUACCCCGACCACGUGGAGCUGAGCUGGUGGGUGAACGGGAAGGAGGUGCGCGACGGGGUCAGCACGGACCCUGAGCCCUACAAG
This is a non-coding RNA of Neofelis nebulosa (Clouded leopard), 786 nucleotides long. NCBI's taxonomy places the organism in Eukaryota, Metazoa, Chordata, Mammalia, Carnivora, Felidae. The record is from the annotation of a RefSeq genome assembly.